This 253-nucleotide ribosomal RNA is filed under the name uncultured bacterium. Its description in RNAcentral is "partial 16S ribosomal RNA". It matches the Rfam family "Bacterial small subunit ribosomal RNA", at positions 524 to 776 of the family's 1533-position model. The record is from RNAcentral.
UACGUAGGGGGCUAGCGUUGUCCGGAAUCACUGGGCGUAAAGCGCGUGUAGGCGGUCCGGUAAGUCCGCUGUGAAAGUCGGGGGCUCAACCCUCGAAUGCCGGUGGAUACUGUCAGACUAGAGUACGGAAGGGGCGAGUGGAAUUCCUGGUGUAGCGGUGAAAUGCGCAGAUAUCAGGAGGAACACCCAUUGCGAAGGCAGCUCGCUGGGACGUUACUGACGCUGAGACGCGAAAGCGUGGGGAGCAAACAGG